Molecule: unclassified non-coding RNA, 1851 nt
Filed under: Leishmania donovani
Lineage: Eukaryota; Euglenozoa; Kinetoplastea; Trypanosomatida; Trypanosomatidae
Description: gene:LdHU3.26.0660(CDS-product:hypothetical_prote in)
Source: RNAcentral
ACGGCAUUACUGGCGGACUUCUUCACUCAAGCCAUGGUGCACGUUUCCCAUCGCUCACGCACAUCGCACGCGACCAUCGUGCCGCUUUCUCCUCUUCACCGGCGCGGUGUGCCCUCUUGAUUAGGAGGCCGCGUCGCUGCUGCUCUCGCAUUGUGCGGAGCGGGACGUCUUCUUCAUCACGGCGGUGGCGGCUUUUCACACGCAACACUUCCGCACCUGCAUGAUGGCGGCGCCGCGCUUUCUGCACUGGGCGGAAGAAAACGGGGUGAUGGCGCAGUCGAUUGAGGCGAGCCACCACCGCGCUGACGCGCGACGGAUGUCCGUGGAUGCUGAAAGCGAGGCAGGGCCGCUGCUGCGUCACCAUAUUCACUCGACCCACUCAGCGGCGCGACGGUCAUCGCUGCCGGCUGCGGCGGGCGUGCCUGGCGUGCAGGAGUACCAGUGCCGCCUUGCCCUCCUCCAGCACGCGUGGUCGAGUGUGCAGAUGGGUAAGCGCUUGCAGUUUGGCAAGGACGCGGUCGCCCUUCUCGACUACGCCGAAGACUCUCUGAGCUACCAUGUCGGGUGUGCGCUGGCGCUCUUCGGGCUGCCACUGCCGGCUGCCGAGGAGACAGUCAUGAAUGCCACCGCGUACCUCACAGGCACCGUUGCCGAAGUGACGUCGACGCCCGCACACGCUGUCUCGCCUCGUUCGUUUUCGCUUGCCAUGCAAAGAGACCUGUACGCUCUAACGGAGUCGGUGCACGCGCUGACGCUUUUGCACCUGGGCAUGGUGGAGCCGGCGAUGCAGAUGGCAAAGGCCGCCCUUGACAGAGCCGAGGCUCUGCGAACGCGCGGCAGCAGUUCCGUCGACAAUGACAAGGAUGAUGCCCUGCUCCUGGACACGCUGCGCCGCGUUGUGGUGAUGGCCGUCACCGCGCUGGAGGACGCCGCAUCGGCGCUGGAGGUGACACUGUCGCCGCAUCUCCUCGCGUACAUUGCGGUGUGCCUGCCUUCUUCGGCGGUCUCUGCGCUGGCGGCAUUUGCGUCAGGGCGCAGUCCGAGGCGCACUGCCUGUUAUACCCGUCAGACCUGCCCCUGCACGCUUCCACGCGACAGAUGAUCCCGUUCCACAUGAACCGCGCCGUGUAUCUCUACCACGCCGGGCAGCUGUGCGGCGCCUGGGAUGACGCGUGCUGCGCCGUCGCCACGGUGGACGAGUUGGCCGGCUCCGUCGAGCUUGCCUUCUCCGACUGCUUCUCGCUCCAUAUGUACUACUUUACCUGCCACGUCGGAUUCGCACUGCUUGAGGAGCUCCUGUUAGCCGAUCUGGAGGCGGCAAAGGCGUGCCUGUCGCACCCCACCAGCAAGGAGGCCAAGGACAAGAAGGACGCAACGCUGCAGGAGGACGAGAUUCUCAUCAAAGAGAUUUUGCACAUAUGGCAGGACGUGGUGCGGCGCAUGCUACACUUCUACCCGCACUCUCGCCUGAAUGAGCUGUGCCAGGCGCAGCUGAAGAUUAUCCGCGGUGAGAAGCACUCCCUGAGCCAGGCGGUGCUGCUAGCCGACUGCUAACCGCACAGCCCAGCGGCGCAGAACUUGCUGGCACUCGCCCUAUAUGUUGACCACCACGUUCCAGAGGCGGUCGACAAUGCUGUCAAGAACCUGCAGGCCUUCCCGCACUCGCGCGAGAUCAUCCAGAUGCACAGCAUGCUGCAUAAAAAGCGUGUCGUCUAUCGGUUUGACUACCGCUGAAUUCUUCUGACGAGCUGCAAGCCCGGGUUGGCCAUGCACGGGAUCACGAAGCGAAUGGCGCUCCUCGUCUUUCUGCUGGCGGCCAACUUGGGAGUGUUGUACCUCACCGUCUACGUG